Molecule: ribosomal RNA, 498 nt
Filed under: uncultured bacterium
Lineage: Bacteria
Description: bacterial SSU rRNA
Rfam family: Bacterial small subunit ribosomal RNA
Source: RNAcentral
GACGAACGCUGGCGGCGUGCUUAACACAUGCAAGUGGAGCGACGAACCGGGCUUCGGCCCGGGGCAGAGCCGCGAACGGGUGAGUAACACGUGGGUCAUCUGCCCAGUUGACAGGGACAACCCGGGGAAACCCGGGCUAAUACCUGAUGUGCCCCUCGGGGGAAAGGAAGCUUCGGCCUCCGCAACUGGAUGAGCCCGCGGCCCAUUAGCUUGUUGGUGGGGUAAUGGCCUACCAAGGCUGCGAUGGGUAGCUGGUCUGAGAGGACGAUCAGCCACACUGGGACUGAGACACGGCCCAGACUCCUACGGGAGGCAGCAGUGGGGAAUCUUGCGCAAUGCGCGAAAGCGUGACGCAGCAACGCCGCGUGGAGGAAGACGGCCUUCGGGUUGUAAACUCCUUUCAGUUGGGACGAAGCUUCAUUCGUUAAUAGCGAGUUGGAGUGACGGUACCUUCAGAAGAAGCCCCGGCUAACUACGUGCCAGCCGCCGCCGUAACAC